UACGGAGGGUGCAAGCGUUAUUCGGAAUUACUGGGCGUAAAGCGCGUGUAGGCGGGAAGGUAAGUCUGAUGUGAAAGCACUGGGCUCAACCUGGGAAGUGCAUUGGAUACUGCUUUUCUUGAGUUCUGGAGAGGAUGGGGGAAUUUUCGGUGUAGAGGUGAAAUUCGUAGAGAUCGGGAGGAAUAUCAGUGGCGAAGGCGUCCAUCUGGACGGCAACUGACGCUGAGACGCGAAAGCGUGGGGAGCAAACAGG
This 253-nucleotide ribosomal RNA is filed under the name uncultured bacterium. RNAcentral's name for it is "partial 16S ribosomal RNA". It matches the Rfam family "Bacterial small subunit ribosomal RNA", at positions 524 to 776 of the family's 1533-position model. The record is from RNAcentral.